UGGGCUUCUCAAGAGAGCCCAAUAUCCGGCCCAAAUUUCAACUGCUCGGGCCCAUUUUGAAAUAUCGUCUUCCAGUUCCUGCUGACCGUACAUGGUUCUCUCUCCCAGUUCUUUCCCGCCUCUGUAACUUGCCGUCCGCCGCGUAAUCUCCGAUCAACCUACGGGUUGAAUGUAAGUGAAAAGCUCUGCGAAGCUGCGCUGCCUUACAAUGUUUGUCAAUGUGCGUCGCCUACAGAACUCUUUUAUGGUACAUUACUACAUUGGUCUUCUUCUUUGAGUUCACCCCAAACCACAUUUUCCUCAAGUUUUUAAACGAGUAUUGUUCGUCGUGUUCUUCGGAUUUGGAUAGUCUUGCAUUUGAUUACGUAGCUCAAUUUUUUCCUUCCAACGACGGUACUUUGUGAUUCAUUUCUGAGUUCAGUGACUAUUGAUGACUGGCGUAGGGUCACUAUUAGGUUAUCCAAAGCGAUUAAGCUGUAUAGGAUUUGAAGAUACUUUUGAGAAAUUUAUACCCUGUUUUUUUGGUCAAGAUUAUGAAAUUGUUUGAAUGUUGAGGAACCGCGUUUGCGUUCUUAAGCUGGCAUUUAAGGAUGAGUGUGAAGGAACUGUUAGGUCUUGUUGUGUGGUGUUGUAGGGAAGUUGUUUAGGUAUGUGGUUCGAAAGGGACCUCUCCCUCAUAAUUAUAUGUUUAACAUAAUGAUUCUUGGGUUUUGUAGAAAGGUUGGAGCAUGUGACGAGCAAAUUUAGCUGUGAACCAGAUGUUUAUUCGCAUAAUAUUGUGAUAAAUGCAAACUGCUUAAAAGGGCAGUCAUCACAGGGGCUUCACUGGGUGAAUUUGAUGAUCCCAAAUGGCUGCAAAUCUAGUAUUGCUACAAUCAGUUCCGUCAUUGAUGCCUUCUGCAGGGGAGGAGGGUGGAUGGGGGUAGUUUAGUUAUCUGGGAAACUUUUUGUUGAAAUUGUAGAUAUGGGGAUCAAUUAUUAAGGGAUAUAUCUGUAUCUGGUUUGCUUAACGAUUCUUCACUAUGUGAUGUAACUGUCUCAGGACUGUGCAUGGGCUUGUAGAUACGAUGAAACCAUGAUGUUUUUAGAGGAUUUACUCGAGAAAGGAUUUCCUCCAACUGGUUGCUUUUAAUUCCAUUCUUGCAGAAUGCGGCAGUGCAAGUUUAGAAGAGAGAGCAUUUUAUGCCUAUGGUACAGUGGCGAAUUUGGUUUAACUCCUUCAUCUUCCACGUGUAGUUCUUUGCUUAUCAGCUAAGCUAGGAAGGGAACCUUGAUGAAGCUAGGAUAAUUUUGUACGACAUGAUAGAGAAAGGAUUCUCUGUCAAUAACGUGGCUUUUACAGCUCUUUUGAAUGGGUGCUUCAGGGCAGUAGAUGUCAUUACGGCUGAAAGUUUGUGGAAUGAGAUGAAGGGUAAGGGGUGUUUCCAGAUGCAGUUGCAUUUGCAGCUUUUAUUUAUGGGUUCUGUAUGUCUGGUUUGAUGAAGGAUGCUUAUGAUAUUGUGAGAUCCCACAUCGGUUGGAGAGGGGUAUGAAACAUUCUUUAUAAAGUGUGAAAACCUCUUCCGAGUAGACACAUUUUAAAAACCUUGAGGGGAAGUAAAAAAGGAAAGCCUAGAGUGGACAAGAUCUGCUAGCGUUGGACUUGGGUUGUUAUAACUGGUAUCAUAACUAGAUACUGGGCAGUGUACCAUUGAGGACGUUGGGGCCCGAAGGGCGGUGAACUGUGAGAUCCCACAUCGAUUGGAGAGGGGAACGAAACAUUCUUUAUAAAGGUGUGGAAACCUCUUCCUAGUAGACGUGUUUUAAAACUUUGAAGGGAAGCCUGAAAAGGAAAGCCCAAAGAGAGCAAUAUUUUGUGUACAAUUGGUGAAAUCUGAAAAGUGGGAAAACCUAAUAUUUUUACGACAAACAUGAUAAUUGGUGGGGAAUGCAAACAAAGAUAGACGAAGUUAGCCAUUGGGACGUUCAUGGACAUGUAUAAGAUGGGUUUAUCUCAUGAUAUUGUCACUUACAGCACAUUGAUUAAUGGUUACUGUAAAGUGACAUGGGUAAUGAAAAUGUCAGAUGGUAGGUGGGAACCUGAUAUAAGGACUUACAGUAUACGAAUUCAUGGUUUCUGCACUGCCCGAAAAAUCAAGUGGGCUGGGACGAUACUUGAGGAGCUUAUUUCAGCAGGGGUUGUUCCGACUACUGUAACAUACAAUACUAUGAUUACUGCUGUCCAGUGUCAUCCUGGAACAUGCUAUGAUGGAUCAUUAAUUAGAGCAUUCUUGUGCUCCAUGAAUCCUUAUCCAAGAUUUUUGUAAUUUGAUAGUGGCACGUGAAUUAAACUCUUGAAGUUGAAUGGCUGUUCCAAUAAAUUAGACUUAAUGGAGCAUGAAGCCAGCGAGAAAUCUCAUACUCCAAGUACUUAGAGAAGCUGCACAACAAUUGAUCCCAAGUUCCUGAGACGUCGACAAAUAGAAGAAUGUUCUUGGAGGAUUCAUCCUUUGAGGUAAUAAUUCGUAAAACUUGUCUCCAGUAGGAAAAACUCCAAUUAAUCUGCUGUUUUGAUUUCUAUAUGGCUUUGGAGGAACCGUGAUGUGUGAGUAUUCUGAUCUCUGUUUGGCUGAUGUUGCGUAGGAAUAUAUUAUUUAGUAGCUUGGUGCAUAAUAUAACCCUGUAACUUAACCCAGAACACCUUAGUUAUAUAUAUUUUUUACUCAGUUGACACAUUCUAUGGCAAUGAAAGUUCAUAGUUUGAAUGUUCUUUUACUUGGUCUUAACACUUAUUACUUGUUUGCCCGUUUUGCUGUAUUUGUUUUGUCUAUUGAUUUCAACUUAGGCUGCCCAUGUGAAUGACUUUUUAGUCCCAAAUCGCCAUUGACCUAUAAAUUAGAUAUCAUAUAGGGUGAAAGCCAGUGAUGAAACUGCAACUUGAAUGUUGUUUUCAUAGUAAUUGAAUUGUGAGAUAUAUAUAUAUUUUUAUAUAUAUGCUAGUGUUUGAGCCAGCAUGUGCACACCUUAAUUAUUUUCACGGGACAACUGCAUGACACAUUUGUUUACCAAAGUAACUCAUAAGAUAUUAAAUCCUAGGUAGGUGGCUACUAUGGCUAGAAUCCAUGAAUGGAAAGUAGAGGUUAAAUAUUUAUUUGUUUACUGUUUCCUUCCUUUCCUUUCAUUGCGAAGGAAUAAAUAAAUUGGCCUACUAGUCAAAAUAAUCAAAUCCUAAGCCUAAGCUUAGAUGUUUUUUAAGUUCAAACUAUAGUGGUUAUCCUAUUUAAGAUAAGAUUUAAGUAUAUGAUCUUCUUGAACAUGUUUUGUUUUCCAAGUUAUAGCUUGUAUCCUUGAGUUCUAAGAUAUUAAAUAUCAUUAAGAAAAUAUGUACGGGAUCAAAAAAAAAUUUAUGAAAAAAAAUUGUAGGAUCCCUCUUGUUUAUAAAAAAAAAAAAAGGUUAUAGGAUGCCAUAUUUAAUUUAGUCCACUUGCAAUUAACUUGACGCCUCACAUUUAUUAAAGAAAAGGGAGUUUGAAGAGGGAAAAGUGGGUACAUCUCUCACUAUCAUCUUGACUAAGUAGAUACAAUAUUAAUGUUUAGUGAUUAUUAACGAUUAAAAUAAUUUUGUUUAGAAAUUGUGAGAAUUUAUUGCAGGUAGCAUCUGUGAGAUCCCACUUCGGUUGGAAAAGGGAACAAAACAUUUCUUAAAAGGGUGUGGAAACCUCUCCCCCUAGCCGACGCGUUUUAAAACCGUGAGGCUGAUGGCAAUAUAGAGUGGGCCAAAGCUUCGGCCUUCACAAUACCUAAGUUUUUCAGGUGGAUGAAGAUGAAAGCCGCCCCACCAUAUCCUAUAAGCCAACCCCUGAGCUGCUCCAAGUACUAUCUGCAAUCUUGUUUUCCAAGCCAGUGUCGGUAGCGCCUUGUUGAAGAGAUGAUCUUCCAAGCUUCUGUUCGUCAUAUACUCGUAUACGAGCAGUCUUUGUAUUCCUCUUGUUCCAUCCACAGCACAGUAUCCUACGAGUUGGACAAGAUUUGGAUGCUCCACUAUACCAAGAAAUUGAACUUCUGCCAGCCACUGCUUGUGGCCCUAUUUGCAAAAUAGAAAUGGUACACUCCGAGUCGAUGUUAGAGAGCACGAAGAAGCAGCCGUCCGACUGCAUCCCGAAAAGUCAGAUUCUAGCUCCCCUUUCAAUUCAGGAGAUCGAUGAGACCCAGAUGGGAUCAAGGGAAAGGGCCAAUUUGUUGAGUCUGGCUUGAAGUUUCAAGUUCCAUUUGAGCCUAUG
Cucurbita pepo subsp. pepo (vegetable marrow) is the source of this 4259-nucleotide non-coding RNA. NCBI's taxonomy places the organism in Eukaryota, Viridiplantae, Streptophyta, Magnoliopsida, Cucurbitales, Cucurbitaceae. The record is from RefSeq and is a predicted model, not a curated record.